UUAGGGAUCUUGCGCAAUGGCCGAAAGGCUGACGCAGCGACGCCGCGUGGGGGAAGACGGCCCUCGGGUUGUAAACCUCUUUUCCCGGGGACGAGGAUGGACGGUACCCGGGGAAUAAGCACCGGCUAACUCCGUGCCAGCAGCCGCGGUAAUACGGGGGGUGCGAGCGUUGUCCGGAUUUACUGGGCGUAAAGGGCGCGUAGGCGGCCGGGUCAGUCGGGCCUGUAAGUGCGGGGCUCAACCCCGUGAUGGGCUCGGGACGGCACGGCUGGGGCGCGGCAGAGGGAGACGGAAUGCCGGGUGUAGUGGUGAAAUGCGUAGAGAUCCGGCGGAACACCGGUGGUGAAGACGGUCUCCUGGGCCGAGAGCCGACGCUGAGGCGCGAGAGCGUGGGGAGCGAACCG
Molecule: ribosomal RNA, 404 nt
Filed under: uncultured bacterium
Lineage: Bacteria
Description: bacterial SSU rRNA
Rfam family: Bacterial small subunit ribosomal RNA
Source: RNAcentral